AAAUUUCCAAGAACCUGUCUUUUUGAUAAAACUGAACAUUACAUAUACUAAUUGACAAAAUAAUCUGGCUGUUUUGAAUUACUAAUGUAACUGGAUUGUUAUCGAGAUGUUUACUGUUGAAUAUUUGUGUUAUCUCUAACUGAUCAACCUUAUUUAUUCGUAUACUAGCUGUAGUGUAACGUAUUGAAACCUAGAUAGAAAAUGACGAACUUUAGGCAAACUGACUAAAGUGCGCGAAUGGAUUAAUUGGGCGAGUUCCAAUUAACCUACCAACACUGUUGGGAGGGUUAAAAAUGAGUUCUAGAAGUAUUAGAAGGGUUUUGGCAUCGAUCGGCGCAAAAUAGAGUUGAAACGGAAGCAAAAUCAGGUCUGGAGCAAUGUGUACCGGUACAGCAAGCGACCUGUCACCGGUUACACAUGCUGAAACCGGUGACACGAAAAAGUGUACCGGUACACUUUGGGCGAAACCGACAGAUUUGCUCUCGGGUUUGCCUCUGCGUAGUCGUGUAACCGGUGACAUGAAAAAGUGUACCGGUACACUUUGGGCGAAACUGACAGAUCUGCUCUCGGGUUUGCCUAUGCGUAGUCGUGUAACCGGUGACACGAAAAAGUGUACCGGUACACUUGGCCUACAGCAAAAACAGGUCCGGCAAAAUAUAAAGAUUGGACAGGUUUUUUCUGCCAAUCGUAUUAAAUAUAAAACAACAUAUAAUAGCCAAUACCUUCCCUCACAGCUCAACACCCUUUACCCUCUCUCUCAUUUCUCUCUCUUCUCUCCUCUAGUAAGCAGCCCUAGAGCUUGGAGAAGGUGGAAAGCUUGGAGAAUGGAUUUUGGUGGCUUUGGUGGUCCUAGAGACUCUCCCAACAAGUAGGCUUGGUGAGGCUUGGGCAAAGAUAGCCGCACACGCAGACUAGGGCUUCAAAAUCCAAAAUCACUUACGCAUCCUCGUGACCAUCUAAGGUGUGUGCAUCCAAGACAUCGAAAAUCUUUAUGUCUAAACGUCAUAUUGAGCAAUGUAUUUAUAUUGAGCAUGUUGCAUAAUAGGUUAAUUGUAAAUUUCUUUGCAUGAUAUGAGUUCUAAUGCUUGAGAAAUAGUAUAAAUGAAUGAGAUUGUAACCCUAAUAUCAUGACAAAGGACAAGAACCUAGAAGUAGUAAACAAAUGUUAAACAUGUUGACACUAAUUUACAGUGACAUUGAUCGAUCCUAUAGACUUAGAAACAAGUUUGGCAUCCCAUAGACAAAGAAAAGAACACAAUGAAUUAUGACAUAAAACACCUUAGAAUUAAAGCCAUAUGUACAUGUCCCUUGAUGUAAGAAUGGAUGAACUAAAAUCCUAAGUAAGGAUGAAUCGAAUCACCUAAAUAGGCGCGUGCGAGGCGUACAUCCCCCUUCGGGCGAUGUGCUCCGAGUUCAUGCACUGGUCGUUACGAUAUCUUCCCAGAGGGCGCCCGUCGGGUUUAGGCGGUUAUCUCCCAUCAUAGGGAUUUGGUGGUGAUUUGUGAGGGCGGAAACCUAACGCUUAGCCAUGAAGAUGGUAAUGAAAAGUUAAUCUUUACAUUCAUCAUAGCAUCUCUAUCGAGCAUAGUUUAUUUAUUGCUCAGGCUAUAGCUGCAUUUGUUAGUUGGUUAUUAUCUAUUCUUUCUUCUAUUAUGCCUGAUUAGACCUAGUGGGAUAGUCGGCGUGGUUGGUUGCCGAACCCACUGGGAACUUUGUUGUAGUUCUCACCCCACUAUUUCCACAGAGUCGGGACCGAGCGAGCCGGCAGAUGAUCGCGGUAAGGGCAUCGCGCCCUAGGAAGAGACCGCCCGAGAUGGAUUUCAUUUUGUAGUUGCACACCCUUUACUAUCAUCUUUUGUAUUUGAUGAUUUUAGUAUUAUGAACUUGUUUUAAUGAAUGAUGUAAAGAAUAUUUAUUUUAAAUGUCAAAAGUUAUAUUUUGGGAGAAAUGAGAUGUAAAAAAAAAAGAGAAAUGAUGCAUGUAUGUGAUUUAAAUUAGUCAUAUUACUUGUAUAUUGAAUUGCUAAUUCUUUCACCUUGGCUAUUGCUUGCCCUCGUGCAAGCCAUUGUGUAUGCUUCCGCUUAUGCAAAUUUGUACUCUAUUGAUACUAGUGUUGAGCCUUGGGCGGACAGGGGAAGCUCUGUCUGUUCGGCGUCUGUUUGACGCUCUCGAACCGGCCAAAAAGGAUCGGGCUCGGGGCGUGACAUGUAGUUUCUCCUGGUCUUUGUGGGUUGUCUCCUCCAACAGUUGCUGCAAUGUUUCUUAGGGAGGACUUUUUGUACUCGAUCGGGAAAGCUUGGUAAUUUAACAAUUGUGUACACCUUAUACUUUUUGGAUGUUUGUUCUUUGGGUUAUUAAUGAGGUACUAAUCAUAUUUAGCAUCAUCAGUACAGCGUAUUGCAACCUUAUAAAUAAACCUAUAGAGUGAUGCAAAUAUGUGAAUAAGGUCACCAAGCAAUCCUUCGUCUUUGACUAUCUAUUUGUAAAUAUAAGAGUUUACAUGCUUAUCAAUUUGGUGUUCUAACAUUAAAAAACAUAAAUAGGAGUGUAAUUACCUGGGGAUUGUUAAGGAUUUUAUAGGUUGGCGAGUUUCGUAAAGUUGGUUGGAGUCUUGAAGAGUUGAUCGCAGAAGUUUUGAAGAAAAGAUUCAAAUUGAAGAAAUAAGACUCAUUCGGAAAGCUCGACACCCAAGGUAUAAAGAAAAGAUUAUUUGUGGUGAAUAUAACUAAUUAGACUAAGUUCAGAAGGUUUAGAUU
This 2756-nucleotide long non-coding RNA is filed under the name Ananas comosus (pineapple). RNAcentral's name for it is "long non-coding RNA (ACOM_LNC007241)". Lineage: Eukaryota; Viridiplantae; Streptophyta; Magnoliopsida; Poales; Bromeliaceae. The record is from RNAcentral.